This 468-nucleotide ribosomal RNA is filed under the name uncultured bacterium. RNAcentral describes it as "partial 16S ribosomal RNA". It matches the Rfam family "Bacterial small subunit ribosomal RNA", at positions 28 to 507 of the family's 1533-position model. The record is from RNAcentral.
GACGAACGCUGGCGGCGUGCUUAACACAUGCAAGUCGAACGGAAAGGCCCUGCUUUUGUGGGGUUCUCGAUUGGCGAACGGGUGAGGAACACGUGAGUAACCGGCCCUUGACUUUGGGAUAACUUCAGGAAACUAGGGUUAAUACCGGAUAGGAUCUCCUGCUGCAUGGUGGGGGUUGGAAAGUUUCGGCGGUUGGGGAUGGACUCGCGGCUUAUCAGCUUGUUGGUGGGGUAGUGGCUUACCAAGGCUUUGACGGGUAGCCGGCCUGGGAGGGUGACCGGCCACAUUGGGCCUGAGAUACGGACCAGACUCCUACGGGAGGCAGCAGUGGGGAAUAUUGCACAAUGGGCGGAAGCCUGAUGAAGCAACGCCGCGUGCGGGAUGACGGCCUUCGGGUUGUAAAACGCUUUCGCCUGUGACGAAGCGUGAGUGACGGUAAUGGGUAAAGAAGCACCGGCUAACUACGUG